GCCACCGUAACGGGAGAACUGGGACCACCCAGUGCCGAAGGAGCAACCGCCCCGGAAACUCUCAGGCAAAUGGACCGUUGCGGGACC
Molecule: non-coding RNA, 87 nt
Filed under: Roseobacter sp.
Lineage: Bacteria; Pseudomonadati; Pseudomonadota; Alphaproteobacteria; Rhodobacterales; Roseobacteraceae
Description: Glycine sequence
Rfam family: Glycine riboswitch aptamer
About the family: This family represents the bacterial glycine riboswitch.
Source: RNAcentral